CUUCCCCUCUUCUUUUGUGCGCCCUGCAUGAAGUCUUGCUUUGUGGUAACUCCUUGUGUCUGCUUGUGUUGACUCCGAGCCUCGGAACACAACUGUCUGAAACAGCAAGUGGUUCUGUGUCUUGUUCCUUCUGGAAUCCGACUGACUAGAACAUCCCCCUACUGUGUGAUGCCUCCACUCGGUCCUCAUUUACGUGCAGGAGCACAGCGACCGUUUGUCUCCAGGGCCACACACACGAGGUGUGCUUUGUCUGCAGAGUGUGUCUUUCUUCGGGCCUGUAACCCCCUUCGCAUGGAAGAUUAAUGAAGGAAAUCUUUAUAUUCUGUAUAAAAACAACAUCAAAUUUAUAUACUAAAAUCAUUUGUCUAAAAAUUUAAGUUGUUUUCAAAUAAAAGUUGAAAUGCAAAAA
Molecule: non-coding RNA, 409 nt
Organism: Peromyscus maniculatus bairdii (prairie deer mouse)
Lineage: Eukaryota; Metazoa; Chordata; Mammalia; Rodentia; Cricetidae
Source: RefSeq, a predicted model, not a curated record